Long non-coding RNA from Cervus elaphus (red deer), 152 nucleotides. RefSeq lists it as uncharacterized. The record is from RefSeq and is a predicted model, not a curated record. The transcript is spliced from 2 exons. NCBI's taxonomy places the organism in Eukaryota, Metazoa, Chordata, Mammalia, Artiodactyla, Cervidae.
CCAACCUAGAGAGCAUAUUAAAAAGCAGAGACAUUACUUUGUCAACAAAGGUCCAUCUAUCAAGGCUAUGGUUUUUCCAGUUGUCAUGUAUGGAUGUGAGAGUCGGACUAUAAACAAAACUGAGCACCGAACAAUUGUUGCUAAUGAACUGU